CCGCACUGGGCCUCGCGGAAACGCAGCUACGAAAUGAAGGGAGCCCAGUCCGAUCUUGCGGAUUGAUUGGGGCACGACGGCACCCGUGACAUAUUUCCAUCCCGGCGGCGACGGCUGGGCGAGCGGCGGCGCCCUUCGCCAGUUCUUCGUUGGACCCUUCUCUGGCGACGAGCAUCCACCAGAUUUUUGGCUCGUUAAUCACCAUGUCUCAUCAAAAGCGUGAAGGCAGCUCCACCGACGAUGAUUGUGCAUCCAAGCGCCUGAAAGGCACCGACACUGCUUCUGAAAUGAGGGGCAGUGUAGAAGCUAGUGUUUCACAAGAAACGGGUUCUGAAGUAACGAGAACCUGCCAAAAGGAAAGCGAGGUGCCAUCGGAGAAAUGUGUUUCGGAUGGGAAAGCCGCUGCGAACUCUAAAAAUUCAGGCGAGCAAAACAUGGUACUAACUGCACUUGAGGCAGAUGCUGCGGAAGACAAGGGUUGCAGGCACACUAUGGAGGACACCUGGGUGCUGCUCCCCAGUGCUGGUGCGGAAUCUCCAGGAAGUUUGAGGUGCGCACAUUUUGCGAUUUAUGAUGGGCAUGGUGGUCGUUUGGCAGCGGAUUUUGCACAGAAGCAUUUGCAUCAGAAUGUCAUCGCUGCAGGAUUACCACAUGGAUGUUAAAGCUGCAAAGAAGGCCAUAAUUGAAGGUUUCCGUCGAACUGAUGAAUCCUUACUACAAGAAAGUACUAAAGGAAAUUGGCAAGAUGGUGCAACAGCUGUAUGUGUUUGGAUCUUGGGACAGAUGGUUGUAGUUGCAAAUGCUGGAGAUGCUAAAGCAGUAUUGGCUCGUUCCACUUCAACUGAUGGUGAAGGUGUGGUUGAUGACACCAAAAGCCAGCUAAAGGCUAUUGUUUUAACAAGAGAACAUAAAGCCAUCUUUCCACAGGAGCGCUCCCGGAUCCAGAAGGUAAUAUGUGUUAUGUAUAAUAUUCUUUUUUUAAACACUUCUUGCCAACUUAACUUCUGUUUCAUAAGGAACUUCCAUAUACAGCUUCUGUUUUACGUACUAGGUCUAAGGUCGCCAACGUAAUUAUGCUGUAUCCAUUUUAUGUUAUCAUAUCAUAUAUAUCUAAUUUGACUAUAGUAAGUUUUAUGAACUGAGUCUGGAACCCUUAGUCUUAUUGUGUUUAUAAUCUUUAUUGAUUUUCAAAAGAUUGUUACAUGACUAAUGAGAUUAACAUUUAUAGGUCCAUCCUAUGCAUAUUCUAUCUGUCAGUUUUAGUGCUAGGACUUAUGUAGUACAUGCGUCGUAAAGAGUUGCCCCUUCAUUAUCUUUCUAUGUCCUCAUUUUGUUCCCUCUAUUAUGGUUAUGAUAUUGGUAUGUAAUAUUUGAAAUUUGUUGAACUUUUUAGCUCUGGGACUUAGAUUUCGAAUCGCAUACUGAUGUUGACUCAUAUACUGUUAACCUUGCGCUCUAACAAAGGCUGGAGGUUCUGUUGGUUCGAAUGGAAGAUUACAAGGUCGUAUUGAAGUAUCAAGAGCUUUUGGUGAUCGCCAGUUUAAGAAGGUUUGCUGAUAUAAGCUUAUUUGGCUACAAGAGUCUGUUUAAUCUGUGUUUGGAAAGAAAUGUUGUUUGGUUAUUUUUCAGCAUUAAUGAUUAAUGGAGGUACUAGUUUAUACUGAAAACAAUGUAUUUUUUAGUGCCAAGUAUAGCACUGAUCAUUAAAAAAAAUUGCUGCUAACGAAAGACAAUUAUUGCAGCUAUGUGUCUUAGUGUGUUGACCUAUGUCAAUCAGUGAAGUGACCCAUGAGCUUUACUGUGCCUUUGCAAAAAUGAUGUGCAUAAAUAAGUUACUUCAUCAGCACUGUAGAAUGUGGAAACACAACAAAUCUUUGACAUUGACGAAAAUCUGUUGUAUUGUCACAAUUUAAUAUCUUUCCUGUAGUUGUGACAUGCACAACUCAUUCAUGUAUUAGUAGUACAAGAGGUCCACAUCUUGACUUAGCAAAAAAAGAAAAGGUUGUCCUUGUUGUACUGAAUGAUUUAUAUUUAUCGCACUCGUAAAAGGCCCAUACUGGACAGGAAAAUGCUGCCAUUCAUAUUUUUGUGCAUUUGUCAGUUUACACUUGAAAAUAAUAUAGGUGGGGUUGAUUGCAACACCAGACGUCCACUCCUUUGAACUUACAAAGAAAGAUCAUUUCAUCAUUCUAGGAUGCGAUGGCUUAUGGGGAGUAUUUGGACCAAGUGAUGCUGUUGAAUUUGUUCAGAAUCAGUUGAAGGAGACAUCUUCAGCCUCACUUGCAGUGCGCCGCCUCGUGAAGGAAGCUGUUCGUGAGAGGCGAUGCAAGGAUAACUGCACUGCUGUUUUGAUCGUCUUCAAACACUAGAGUCCUACUUAAUCCUCUUCCUGUAGACUGCACAAUUAGCUGACGAUGGACAAUGUUCGAACUGAAGCUAGUUGAACAAGGAACUCUUGUUUUAUUUGUUUUUAUUUGACCUAUUAAAACACUAUAUCCAUAUUCAUCUGGAAAUUGGAAAUCGGACUUGAAAAAUUCGAAUCUCCGCAGUAAUAUGGGUCUGGGGUUGAUUCCAUGCAAACCCUGGAUACCGGAAUUUCAGACCC
This is an RNA transcript of Panicum virgatum (switchgrass), 2605 nucleotides long. It is a transcript of the gene named probable protein phosphatase 2C 67, with no coding region annotated. The transcript is spliced from 9 exons. The record is from RefSeq and is a predicted model, not a curated record. NCBI's taxonomy places the organism in Eukaryota, Viridiplantae, Streptophyta, Magnoliopsida, Poales, Poaceae.